RNAcentral lists this ribosomal RNA (497 nucleotides) under uncultured bacterium. Its description in RNAcentral is "partial 16S ribosomal RNA". It matches the Rfam family "Bacterial small subunit ribosomal RNA", at positions 899 to 1397 of the family's 1533-position model. The record is from RNAcentral.
ACUCAAAUGAAUUGACGGGGACCCGCACAAGCAGCGGAGCAUGUGGUUUAAUUCGACGCAACGCGAAGAACCUUACCUGGGCUUGACAUGUUCUUGACAGCUCUGGAAACAGAGUCUCCCUUCGGGGCAAGAUCACAGGUGGUGCAUGGCUGUCGUCAGCUCGUGUCGUGAGAUGUUGGGUUAAGUCCCGCAACGAGCGCAACCCCCGUCGCAUGUUGCCAGCAUUUAGUUGGGGACUCAUGUGAGACUGCCGGUGACAAACCGGAGGAAGGUGGGGAUGACGUCAAGUCAUCAUGCCCCUUAUGUCCAGGGCUACACACGUGCUACAUUGGCGCGUACAGAGGGCUGCGAUACCGCGAGGUGGAGCGAAUCCCUCAAAGCGCGUCUCGGUUCGGAUUGCAGGCUGAAACCCGCCUGCAUGAAGGUGGAGUUGCUAGUAAUCGCGGAUCAGCAUUGCCGCGGUGAAUACGUUCCCGGGUCUUGUACACACCGCCCGU